RNAcentral lists this non-coding RNA (748 nucleotides) under Brugia timori. RNAcentral's name for it is "Bacterial large subunit ribosomal RNA". It matches the Rfam family "Bacterial large subunit ribosomal RNA", at positions 1050 to 1559 of the family's 2925-position model. Lineage: Eukaryota; Metazoa; Nematoda; Chromadorea; Rhabditida; Onchocercidae. The record is from Rfam by way of RNAcentral.
AAGCAAUCGCUUAGUGGAAAAGGAAGUGAUCGAGCGAUGACAACCAGGAGGUGGGCUUGGAAGCAGCCAUCCUUCGAAGAAAGCGUAAUAGCUCACUGGUCUAGCUCCAUGGCACCGAAAAUGUAUCGGGGCUCAAGUGAUUCACCGAAGCGACGAGACCUUGGAAGCGUUAAGCGGGCUCUCAAGACCCAAGGUUCUUUAUUCCCAUAAGGGUGAGGUAUUUCUUGCUCGACUAACAGGACCGGAGGGGCUCGACCCUUUUUUUACUUAAUUUGGGGGGCCAAUAAGUAAAUUGAAACUUUAGUUGCUCGACCAUAAGGUGCCGUUAGGCCGCUCGACCAUAAGGGAGAGGGAGAGGAGAGGUCAUUUCUUGACCAUAAGGUAACAGGAGAGGAGGGCGAGAAAGCGAGGCGCCAACCAAGUGUCAGUAGCGGGACGUUCUGUCAAUCGGGGAAGGGACAACACCUGGAGAUAUCAGAAGUGAGAAUGCUGACAUGAGUAACGAUGAAUCAUGUGAAAAACACGAUCGCCUGCCAGUUCCAGGGUUUCUGCGUUCAGUCAAUCUACGCAGAGUGAAUCGGUCCCUAAGGAACCCCCGAAAGGGCUUUCGUCCGAUGGGUACACGAAAGUGACGAAGUUGCCCCGACUACUGAACCAUGCGUGUCUGUUGAAGUGAAUUGGAUGAGAGUUCGAUUUUCCUGCCAACCAAAUUGAAUGAAUGCAAAAGCGCACUUCUGUUAGGGUUUCA